Molecule: transfer RNA, 84 nt
Filed under: Streptomyces phage Coruscant
Lineage: Duplodnaviria; Heunggongvirae; Uroviricota; Caudoviricetes; Stanwilliamsviridae
Description: tRNA-Leu
Rfam family: tRNA
About the family: Transfer RNA (tRNA) molecules are approximately 80 nucleotides in length.
Source: RNAcentral
GCGCCGGUGGUGGAAUGGCAGACAUACUAGGCUGAGACCCUAGGUCCACAAUGGACGUCCGAGUUCGAUUCUCGGUCGGCGUAC